Molecule: ribosomal RNA, 468 nt
Filed under: uncultured bacterium
Lineage: Bacteria
Description: partial 16S ribosomal RNA
Rfam family: Bacterial small subunit ribosomal RNA
Source: RNAcentral
GACGAACGCUGGCGGCGUGCUUAACACAUGCAAGUCGAACGGAAAGACCCUGCUUUUGUUGGGUGCUCGAGUGGCGAACGGGUGAGUAACACGUGAGUAACCUGCCCUUGACUUUGUGAUAACUUCAGGAAACUGGGGCUAAUACCGCAUAGGAGCUCCUGCUGCAUGUUGGUGGUUGGAGAGUUUCGGCGGUUGGGGAUGGACUCGCUGCUUAUGAGCUUGUUGGUGUGGUAGUGGCUUACGAGGGCUUUGACGGGUAGCCGGCCUGGGAGGGGUAACGGCGUCAUGGGGCCUGAGAUACGGACCGGUAUGGUACGGGAGGCAGUAGUGGGGAAUAUUGCAGAAUGGGCGGAAGUCUGAGGCAGAAACCCUGGGUGCGGGAUGCUGGGUUUCGGGUUGUAAACCGAUUUCGAAGGUGACGAAGAGUGAGUGACGGUAAUGGGUAAAGAAGCAACGGCUAACUACGUG